RNAcentral lists this long non-coding RNA (328 nucleotides) under Homo sapiens (human). Its description in RNAcentral is "non-protein coding lnc-FAM96B-1:1". Lineage: Eukaryota; Metazoa; Chordata; Mammalia; Primates; Hominidae. The record is from RNAcentral.
CAGCAGUCCCAUCUUCAGUCAAAGAUGAGAAAACUGAGGAACAAAGAGGAUACACAGCUUACUCAAAGAUACACAUCUGUGGUCGAGUGCAGUGGCUCAUGCCUGUAAUCCCAGCACUUUGGGAGGCCGAGGUGGGUGGAUCACUUGGGGCCAAGAGUUAGAGACUAGCCUGGCCAACAUGGUGAAACCCCGUCUCUACUAAAAACAAAAAUUAUCCAGGUGUGGUGGUGGGCGCCUGUAAUCCCAGCUACUUGGGAGGCUGAGGCACAAGAAUCAUUUGAAGCCUGGAGACAGAGGUUGCAGUGAAGCAAGAUCACACCAAUGCACU